UACGGAGGGCGCUAGCGUUGUUCGGAAUUACUGGGCGUAAAGCGUACGUAGGCGGCUCAGAAAGUCUAGGGUGAAAUCCCAGGGCUCAACCCUGGAACUGCCUUAUAAACUCCUGGUCUUGAGUUCGAGAGAGGUGAGUGGAAUUCCCAGUGUAGAGGUGAAAUUCGUAGAUAUUUGGAGGAACACCAGUGGCGAAGGCGGCUCACUGGCUCGGUACUGACACUGAGGUACGAAAGCGUGGGUAGCAAACAGG
RNAcentral lists this unclassified non-coding RNA (253 nucleotides) under uncultured Paracoccaceae bacterium. RNAcentral's name for it is "uncultured Rhodobacteraceae bacterium contains 16S-23S intergenic spacer region". It matches the Rfam family "Bacterial small subunit ribosomal RNA", at positions 524 to 776 of the family's 1533-position model. The record is from RNAcentral. Lineage: Bacteria; Pseudomonadati; Pseudomonadota; Alphaproteobacteria; Rhodobacterales; Paracoccaceae.